Molecule: long non-coding RNA, 1128 nt
Organism: Diabrotica virgifera virgifera (western corn rootworm)
Lineage: Eukaryota; Metazoa; Arthropoda; Insecta; Coleoptera; Chrysomelidae
Exons: 2
Source: RefSeq, a predicted model, not a curated record
UCCAGAGAUAGAUAUUCUCUGAUGUCAUUUAUUUAUAAUGAAUAAAUAUUUUACAGUGUGAUGAAUACUACAAUUCAUUGGGUAAUAUUUUUAUUUUCCCCAGAGUAACAUCUGAAAAUUAUUUUGGUACUUUAAAAUUUUUUAUGAAUAAUAAUUUAAAUUAACGAUAUACAUUGACUUAAUAAUUACUUUAUUAUGAGUAUUUAUUUUUGAUUUGUUUUGAACGAUUACUACAGCAUAUAUUUAUUUCUGGUUAGAACUUUGUCUUCUUAUUUUCUGUGAGAAAAAUUUCUCACCUGUGUUCGAAAUUUUUCUGAUGAGUGGAGGGAGUGUGUAACAUUCCUGUUUUCUUUGAGAAAAAUUUCUCACCUGUGUUCAAAAUUUUUCUGAUGGGUGAGAGGAGUGUGUAACGUUACAAACGUCACAUCUUUGAUAUUUUAUUUUUAAAAUAAUUAUUUUACCUUAUUUUCUUUAAUAUUUCAUUAAUAAUUAUCUUCUUCUAAUUGGUUUACCCAUUUUCCCCUUUAAAAAUCGGUUGGCGCUCUCUUUUAUUACCCUCUUUUAUUAUCUUCUAUUUAAUAUAUCUCUUUCAUUUAAAUCAUCAUACUGAACAUACAUCGUAUAUUCAUACUCUCCAAAUAUCUGUAUUUUCAAUACGGAACAUGCCGCUACUUCAUAGUACUUGGUUGUCAUUUUAAAUGUCGUUUUCAAUGACAGUGUCACUUCAUCGACUUGACCCCCUACUCCCUGACAUACACUGGAAGGGAAAAAUUAAUCCUUAAAAAGGCAUGUAAUUCGAAAAAUAAAUCAUUUCUAUUUCAUCAAAUCAUCUCUUGGGUUUUUUGGAAAGAAACCACUUUUCUCCCUCCGGGAGUUUCAACAACCCUCAAAUCGCCGGCGAUACAACAACGAGGACCAUGUCAUCAGGGCUGCAACCACAUAACCAAGACUGCAACGACCAACAUCCGUAGGCCUGGUGGAAUACAACACCUACAACCCCAGAGCCCGUUGCAGAACCAGCAGCAGUACCAUACGACAUCAAGAAGAUACCAUCAGCUACCAAAAGCCAUAAGUAUAAUCCAGAAUUGUUAGUUUUUGGCAAGAAUUUAAAUACAUUUGUUAAUGCAA